RNAcentral lists this small RNA (3084 nucleotides) under Pan troglodytes (chimpanzee). RNAcentral describes it as "retained intron". The record is from RNAcentral. Lineage: Eukaryota; Metazoa; Chordata; Mammalia; Primates; Hominidae.
CUUUUCGGAGAACGUUUCAUAGACGGAAGUAGAUUCCAUGGGCCUCCAAGACAAUAGGAUCCUCUCUCCAUUCCUCGCCAUAUGGGUUUUGUUUUUUAAGUCAUUUGGUUUGGGGAGGGCCUUGUUUUUUUUCUGUUUUGAUAUUUUUAUUUUUUCUGCAGUCACCGGCUGCCAACAUAAUCUGCACCAACUGGAGAUCAGAAACCAAAAAAAAAAAAAAAUUUUAACCACAACAAAAAAAAAAAAUCAAAAAAACCAAAACAGACCUAAAACCAGACAGCCAAACAGCUCAGAGGCACACAGUUACCUGCUGCCGGGUAACCAGGCGCGCUCCCAAGGCCAAAAGCGCGAGCGUAGUGGGGCCACUGGCACACCUCAUACCAGGAGACACGCACACGGAGCGCUACACAGCCAGAAGCACCGCACCACCGCACUGCAGCACAUAUGUGAGGAGGUGACAACAUGGAGGGACACUACCCACUUCAUACACCUUUAUUUCCACUUUUCUGAUAUCUUCUGAGGACAGAACAUCUGUGAGCCAUUUUUGAUUUAAUCAAAAUAUUGACUUUUAAAACAAUUCUUUAAAAAAAUUGUAGCGGAUGUGUACCGUGACUUGUAUUUAUGACUGUAAAACCAUGUGAUGCAGGGUCGCAGUGUAUGUUUGAUGGGACGCCAUCUUUCAGAACUGUGCUAACUCACUGUUGAAGCGUCCAAUGGUAAGAGAAAAUACAGAUUUGUUUUUUGUGACAAAUGGACAUUGUACUCUGUACUUCUGCUGUAAGUAGUCCUUUUCCAUCUUUGUAAUGACUGGUAACAAAACCCAGGCCGGGUGGCAGGAAAGGGCAGUGGUUUCGAGCCCUGGGUUUUGGAGUCAGCCAGACCUGGGUUCAAAUAUGGCUCAGCCACGGUCUUGUUUUGUGACUUUGGGCCAAAGUGUCUUUUAACUGCUCAGUUAAAAGUUAACGACUCAGUCUUCUUAUCUGUAAAAUGGGGCUGAAAUAUCAGAACCUACCUCAUAGGGUUGUUGUGAGGAAUUUGAGAAGCUGUGAUGUCUGUAAAGCGGCUAGCCCAGUGCCUGCCACUUAAGCGCUAAGUUAAAGGCAGUGAUUACGAACUGCUGGGGUCGGGGUGGAUCUGCGCCAUUGCUGGGUGUGGGAAUGUCGAUGCCUUGUACAUGAUUGCUUCUUUGAACUGAUUCUGCUGUUGCCCUGCUUGUCAGCUACAGUCAGUCCCUCUUGGGCUGGCGGGACUGGGAGGGAGGGGGGACUGGGAUUAAGAAAGAAGGGAUCUAACAGAGACAGUCUGGAGCUCCUAGAACCUUGGGGGCUUUGGGGGUCAAGCUUGCUUGCUUCCCUCCGGGGUUAUUUUCCUCUUAAUCUACUCUCCCUUCAUUGGGAGUCACUUUAGAAAGCUGCUUUUGGCCCGCCAUAAUAUAUCAGCUUCUGUAGCAGCUGCACAUUCCCCAGAGGGCCUGGGAGCUGGGCUUUCUCCCAGGGCCAGGGUAGGUGAGAGCACAGAACCUGGCCUUGUCCUUCACAGAACAAGACCAGCCCUUUGGUAUGAGCAGGGGAAGGAGAGUGGGCACCAGCUUUGAGGCUCGGGCUUCAUGCCUGCCGUAGGUCAGAUCACAAAAGGAGGCCCCACAGCCCUCGAGGAAGGGAGGGCUUGCAGUUUGCAGGAGCUGGGGGCUCAGAUCAGCCUGUGCAGUCAGGAGGGAGGGAGAGACCCUAAUUUCUGAGUGAGACUCCUAACUGUGUUCUCUCUCCACAGGUGACCCUGGCAGCAACCCCAACAAACGCCAGAGGCAGCCCCCUCUCCUGGGAGAUCACCCCGCAGAAUAUGGUGAGGGCAGGGGGUUCCCCUCCGUGGACUCCCGUGGCUCAUGUGCCCCUGCCCGCCGCCCGCCGUGCAAAUUCUCACCCGUCCUCCCUCUCUUUCCUUCCCACCCCCCAGGAGGGCCCCACGGUGGGUACCACAGCCAUUACCAUGAUGAGGGCUACGGGCCCCCCCCACCUCACUACGAAGGGAGAAGGAUGGGUCCACCAGUGGGGGGUCACCGUCGGGGCCCAAGUCGCUACGGCCCCCAGUAUGGGCACCCCCCACCCCCUCCCCCACCACCCGAGUAUGGCCCUCACGCCGACAGCCCUGUGCUCAUGGUCUAUGGCUUGGAUCAAUCUAAGAUGAACUGUGACCGAGUCUUCAAUGUCUUCUGCUUAUAUGGCAAUGUGGAGAAGGUGAAAUUCAUGAAAAGCAAGCCGGGGGCCGCCAUGGUGGAGAUGGCUGAUGGCUACGCUGUAGACCGGGCCAUUACCCACCUCAACAACAACUUCAUGUUUGGGCAGAAGCUGAAUGUCUGUGUCUCCAAGCAGCCAGCCAUCAUGCCCGGUCAGUCAUACGGGUUGGAAGACGGGUCUUGCAGUUACAAAGACUUCAGUGAAUCCCGGAACAAUCGGUUCUCCACCCCAGAGCAGGCAGCCAAGAACCGCAUCCAGCACCCCAGCAAUGUGCUGCACUUCUUCAACGCCCCGCUGGAGGUGACCGAGGAGAACUUCUUUGAGAUCUGCGAUGAGCUGGGAGUGAAGCGGCCAUCUUCUGUGAAAGUAUUCUCAGGCAAAAGUGAGCGCAGCUCCUCUGGACUGCUGGAGUGGGAAUCCAAGAGCGAUGCCCUGGAGACUCUGGGCUUCCUGAACCAUUACCAGAUGAAAAACCCAAAUGGUCCAUACCCUUACACUCUGAAGUUGUGUUUCUCCACUGCUCAGCACGCCUCCUAAUUAGGUGCCUAGGAAGAGUCCCAUCUGAGCAGGAAGACAUUUCUCUUUCCUUUAUGCCAUUUUUUGUUUUUGUUAUUUGCAAAAGAUCUUGUAUUCCUUUUUUUUUUUUUUUUUUUUAAAUGCUAGGUUUGUAGAGGCUUAACCUUAAUGGAAACGCUGGAAGUCUGCAGGGGGAGGGAGAGGGGAACUGGUAUCUCCCAAGAUUAACCUUCACUUUUAAAAAAUUAUUGUACAUGUGAUUUUUUUUUUCCUGUUCAUACAUUUGUGCUGCCCAUGUACUCUUGGCACAUUUCAAUAAAAUUGUUUGGAAAAU